Molecule: ribosomal RNA, 280 nt
Filed under: Sesamia nonagrioides (Mediterranean corn borer)
Lineage: Eukaryota; Metazoa; Arthropoda; Insecta; Lepidoptera; Noctuidae
Description: partial 16S ribosomal RNA
Source: RNAcentral
AAAGACGAGAAGACCCUAUAGAGUUUUAUAAGUAAAAUUAAUUGAGAUUAUUUGUAAAGGUUAAGAUUAAGAUUAAUUUAUUUAUUUUGUUGGGGUGACAGAAAAAUAUGAAAAACUUUUUAUAAGUUUAAAACAUUAAUAAGUGGUUAAAUGAUCCAAUAUUAUUGAUUAUAAGAAAAAAUUACCUUAGGGAUAACAGCGUAAUUUUUUUUUUUAGUUCAUAUAAAAAAAAAAGUUUGCGACCUCGAUGUUGGAUUAAGAUAAAAUUUAAAUGCAGAAG